Molecule: ribosomal RNA, 1016 nt
Filed under: Salmonella enterica
Lineage: Bacteria; Pseudomonadati; Pseudomonadota; Gammaproteobacteria; Enterobacterales; Enterobacteriaceae
Description: partial 23S ribosomal RNA
Rfam family: Bacterial large subunit ribosomal RNA
Source: RNAcentral
UCACUGGUCGAGUCGGCCUGCGCGGAAGAUGUAACGGGGCUAAACUAUGCACCGAAGCUGCGGCAGCGACACUAUGUGUUGUUGGGUAGGGGAGCGUUCUGUAAGCCUGUGAAGGUGUGUCGUGAGGCAUGCUGGAGGUAUCAGAAGUGCGAAUGCUGACAUAAGUAACGAUAAAGCGGGUGAAAAGCCCGCUCGCCGGAAGACCAAGGGUUCCUGUCCAACGUUAAUCGGGGCAGGGUGAGUCGACCCCUAAGGCGAGGCCGAAAGGCGUAGUCGAUGGGAAACGGGUUAAUAUUCCCGUACUUGGUGUUACUGCGAAGGGGGGACGGAGAAGGCUAUGUUGGCCGGGCGACGGUUGUCCCGGUUUAAGCGUGUAGGUGUGUGUUCCAGGUAAAUCCGGUUCACUUUAACACUGAGGCGUGACGACGAGGCACUACGGUGCUGAAGCAACAAAUGCCCUGCUUCCAGGAAAAGCCUCUAAGCAUCAGGUAACAUCAAAUCGUACCCCAAACCGACACAGGUGGUCAGGUAGAGAAUACCAAGGCGCUUGAGAGAACUCGGGUGAAGGAACUAGGCAAAAUGGUGCCGUAACUUCGGGAGAAGGCACGCUGACACGUAGGUGAAGUGAUUUACUCAUGGAGCUGAAGUCAGUCGAAGAUACCAGCUGGCUGCAACUGUUUAUUAAAAACACAGCACUGUGCAAACACGAAAGUGGACGUAUACGGUGUGACGCCUGCCCGGUGCCGGAAGGUUAAUUGAUGGGGUCAGCGCAAGCGAAGCUCCUGAUCGAAGCCCCGGUAAACGGCGGCCGUAACUAUAACGGUCCUAAGGUAGCGAAAUUCCUUGUCGGGUAAGUUCCGACCUGCACGAAUGGCGUAAUGAUGGCCAGGCUGUCUCCACCCGAGACUCAGUGAAAUUGAACUCGCUGUGAAGAUGCAGUGUACCCGCGGCAAGACGGAAAGACCCCGUGAACCUUUACUAUAGCUUGACACUGAACAUUGAGCCUUGAUGUGUAG